CGGGGGAUGCCUAGGCUCUCAGAGGCGAGGAAGGACGUGAUAAGCUGCGAUAAGCUUCGGGGAUGCGCAAAUAGCAAUUGAUCCGAGGAUUUCCGAAUGGGGCAACCCUUUACACAUAAGUGUAAAAUCCUUAUAUUAGGAUGCGAACGUUGGGAACUGAAACAUCUAAGUACCAAUAGGAGAAGAAAACAAAAGUGAUUCCGUUAGUAGCGGCGAGCGAAAGCGGAUUAGCCCAAACCUAUAUCGUUACGGCGAUAUAGGGGUUGUAGGACCACGACAUAGAUAUUGAUUAAGAACUGGAAGUAUUUGGAAAGAUACACCAUAGAGCAUGAUAGUUGCGUACGGGUAAAGAAUUAAUAUUUUAGUGGUAUCCUGAGUAGGGCGGGACACGUGAAAUCCUGUCUGAAUCCACCAGGACCAUCUGGUAAGGCUAAAUACUCCUGAGAGACCGAUAGUGAACUAGUACUGUGAAGGAAAGGUGAAAAGCACUCUGAAUAAGAGGUUGAAAUAGAACCUGAAACCGUAUACUUACAAGCGGACGGAGCCUUAGGGUGACGUCGUGCCUUUUGCAUAAUGAUCCUACGAGUUAUUAUAUCUAGCAAGGUUAAUUGUUUAAGACAAGGAGCCGUAGCGAAAGCGAGUCUUAACAGGGCGUAUAGUUAGAUGUAAUAGACGCGAAACCAAGUGAUCUACCCAUGGUCAGGAUGAAGCUAAGGUAACACUUAGUGGAGGUCCGAACUCGUUGACGUUGAAAAGUCUUGGGAUGAACUGUGGGUAGGGGUGAAAGGCUAAUCAAACUUGGAGAUAGCUCGUACUCCCCGAAAUGCAUUUAGGUGCAGCGGUGAUAUAGUUUUAUAGAGGUAGAGCUACUGAUUGGAUGAGGGGGCUUCAUCGCCUACCAAUUCCUGACAAACUCCGAAUGCUAUAAAAUGUUUGUCACUAGUGAGGGCGCGGGUGCUAAGGUCCGUGUCCGAGAGGGAAAGAACCCAGAAUAACAGCUAAGGUCCCUAAAUAAUAUCUAAGUUAAACAAACGUGGUUAAACUGCAUUGACAGCUAGGAUGUUGGCUUGGAAGCAGCCAUUCAUUUAAAGAGUGCGUAACAGCUCACUAGUCGAGCGGUUUUGCGUGGAUAAUACUCGGGUAUAAAGAUAUUUACCGAAGCUAUAUCUUUGAGCAAUCAAGGGGUAGGGGAGCAUUGUAAUCAUGUAGAAGCAGUACUGUGAGGUAUUGUGGAGAGAUUACAAAAGAAAAUGUAGGAAUGAGUAACGAUAAUGAGGGCGAGAAACCCUCACACCGAAAGACUAAGGUUUCCUUUGCUAUGUUAGUCAUCAGAGGGUUAGUCAGGACCUAAGGCGGAACCCGAUAGGGGAAGUCGAUGGAAAAACGGUUAAUAUUCCGUUACUUCUUAAUACUGCGAUGGAAUGACCGAUCUUUGAAAUCUACGCGUGCUGACGGAAUAGCACGUUAAAGGAGGUAGAAUAGUUUGGUAGGUAAAUCCGCCAGAUGUUUUCGAAACUGAAAGUACCAUAAUCCUUCGGGAGCGUGGAUAGUUAGAGUAAGAGGUCGCAAGAAAAGUUUCUAAGCAAUAGGUAUUAAGGACCUGUACCAUAAACCGACACAGGUAGUCGAGGAGAGAAUCCUAAGGUGGACGAGAGAUUCAUGGCUAAGGAACUAGGCAAAAUUGACCUGUAACUUCGGGAGAAAGGUCGCCCCAUGCAAAUGGGGUCGCAGCGAAGAGGCCCAAGCGACUGUUUAGCAAAAACACAGGACUCUGCAAAUUCGAAAGAAUAAGUAUAGGGUCUGACACCUGCCCGGUGCUGGAAGGUUAAGAGGAGUUGUUAGUUUCGGCGAAGCAAUGAAUUGAAGCCCCAGUAAACGGCGGCCGUAACAAUAACGGUCCUAAGGUAGCGAAAUUCCUUGUCGGGUAAGUUCCGACCUGCACGAAUGGUGUAACGAUGGCCACACUGUCUCCUCCUGAGACUCAGCGAAGUUGAAAUGUUUGUGAUGAUGCAAUCUACCCGUGGCUAGACGGAAAGACCCCAUGAACCUUUACUGUAGCUUUGCAUUGGACUUUGAAGUGGUUUGUGUAGGAUAGGUGGGAGACAUUGAAGCAUGGACGCUAGUCUGUGUGGAGUCGUCCUUGAAAUACCACCCUGACCCCUUUGAGGUUCUAACCUUGGUCCGUUAUCCGGAUCGGGGACCGUGCAUGGUAGGCAGUUUGACUGGGGCGGUCUCCUCCCAAAUUGUAACGGAGGAGCUCGAAGGUCGCCUAGGUACGGUCGGACAUCGUACUGAUAGUGUAAUGGCAAAAGGCGGCUUAACUGCGAGACCGACAAGUCGAGCAGGUGCGAAAGCAGGACAUAGUGAUCCGGUGGUUCUGUAUGGAAGGGCCAUCGCUCAACGGAUAAAAGGUACUCUGGGGAUAACAGGCUGAUUCCUCCCAAGAGUUCACAUCGACGGGGGAGUUUGGCACCUCGAUGUCGGCUCAUCACAUCCUGGGGCUGUAGCCGGUCCCAAGGGUAUGGCUGUUCGCCAUUUAAAGUGGUACGUGAGCUGGGUUCAAAACGUCGUGAGACAGUUUGGUCCCUAUCUGCAGUGGGCGUUGGAAAUUUGAGGGGGGCUGCUCCUAGUACGAGAGGACCGGAGUGGACAGACCUCUGGUGUACCGGUUGUCACGCCAGUGGCAUUGCCGGGUAGCUAAGUCUGGAAGAGAUAAGCGCUGAAAGCAUCUAAGCGCGAAACUUGCCUCAAGAUGAGAUUUCCCCAAGGCUUUAAGCCUUUU
Molecule: ribosomal RNA, 2782 nt
Filed under: Pinctada margaritifera
Lineage: Eukaryota; Metazoa; Mollusca; Bivalvia; Pterioida; Pteriidae
Description: bacterial LSU rRNA
Rfam family: Bacterial large subunit ribosomal RNA
Source: RNAcentral